Molecule: ribosomal RNA, 460 nt
Filed under: uncultured bacterium
Lineage: Bacteria
Description: partial 16S ribosomal RNA
Rfam family: Bacterial small subunit ribosomal RNA
Source: RNAcentral
CCUACGGGCGGCUGCAGUGAGGAAUAUUGGUCAAUGGACGAGAGUCUGAACCAGCCAAGUAGCGUGAAGGAUGACUGCCCUAUGGGUUGUAAACUUCUUUUAUAUGGGAAUAAAAUGUUCCACGUGUGGGAUUUUGUAUGUACCAUAUGAAUAAGGAUCGGCUAACUCCGUGCCAGCAGCCGCGGUAAUACGGAGGAUCCGAGCGUUAUCCGGAUUUAUUGGGUUUAAAGGGAGCGUAGGUGGAUUGUUAAGUCAGUUGUGAAAGUUUGCGGCUCAACCGUAAAAUUGCAGUUGAAACUGGCAGUCUUGAGUACAGUAGAGGUGUGCGGAAUUCGUGGUGUAGCGGUGAAAUGCUUAGAUAUCACGAAGAACUCCGAUUGCGAAGGCAGUUCACUGGACUGCAACUGACACUGAGGCUCGAAAGUGUGGGUAUCAAACAGGAUUAGAUACCCUUGUAGUC